RNAcentral lists this ribosomal RNA (479 nucleotides) under uncultured bacterium. RNAcentral describes it as "bacterial SSU rRNA". It matches the Rfam family "Bacterial small subunit ribosomal RNA", at positions 28 to 507 of the family's 1533-position model. The record is from RNAcentral.
GGUGAACGCUGGCGGCGUGCCUAACACAUGCAAGUCGAGCGGAAAUAGUCUGAAGUAUUCGUACGGAAGGGUAUUUUAGCGGCGGACGGGUGAGUAACACGUGAGCAACCUGCCUUCAGCUGGGGAAUAACAUUGGGAAACCAGUGCUAAUACCGCAUGACAUCACGGGGGGACAUCCCCCUGUGAUCAAAGGAUUUCGAUCCGGCCGAAGAUGGGCUCGCGUCCGAUUAGUUAGUUGGUGAGGUAACGGCUCACCAAGACCGCGAUCGGUAGCCGAACUGAGAGGUUGAUCGGCCACAUUGGGACUGAGACACGGCCCAGACUCCUACGGGAGGCAGCAGUGGGGAAUAUUGGGCAAUGGGGGAAACCCUGACCCAGCAACGCCGCGUGAAGGACGAAGGCCUUCGGGUUGUAAACUUCUUUGAUCAGGGACGAAACAAAUGACGGUACCUGAAGAACAAGCCACGGCUAACUACGUG